Non-coding RNA from Caenorhabditis elegans, 21 nucleotides. The record is from Ensembl. NCBI's taxonomy places the organism in Eukaryota, Metazoa, Nematoda, Chromadorea, Rhabditida, Rhabditidae.
UGAUCCAAAAUAUUCCAAAAA